This 433-nucleotide ribosomal RNA is filed under the name uncultured bacterium. RNAcentral describes it as "partial 16S ribosomal RNA". It matches the Rfam family "Bacterial small subunit ribosomal RNA", at positions 29 to 507 of the family's 1533-position model. The record is from RNAcentral.
AACGAACGCUGGCGGCAUGCCUAACACAUGCAAGUCGAACGACACCUUCGGGACUGGUUGCUCACGGGUGCGUAACGCGUCGGAACCUUCCCUUAUGCUCGGAAUAACUCCCCGUCAGGGGUGCUAAUGCCGGGUAAUUUCUUCUGACCAAAGAUUUAUCCACCUGGUAUGGGCCGGCGUUGUAUUAGCUGGUUGGGAGGGUAAAAGCCUACCAAGGCGUCGAUACAUAGCUGGUAUGAGAGGAAGGGCAGCGACACUGAGAGUGAGACGCGGCCCAGAAUAUUACGGGAGGGAGCAAUGGGGGAUAUAGGACAAUGGGCGAAAGGAUGAUGCAGCAAUGCCGGGUGAGUGAUGAAGGCCGUAGAGAUGUAAAGCUCUUUUAUCCGGGAUGAUAAUGACAGUACCGAGAGAAUAAGCACCGGCUAACUCCGUG